This 240-nucleotide ribosomal RNA is filed under the name Triticum aestivum (bread wheat). RNAcentral's name for it is "partial small subunit ribosomal RNA". Lineage: Eukaryota; Viridiplantae; Streptophyta; Magnoliopsida; Poales; Poaceae. The record is from RNAcentral.
AUGGCAAUAGUUCAAAGAUGGGGUAAACCGGACUAUUUUAUCACGAUGACAUGCAAUCCGUACUGGGAGGAGAUAACUAUUGAAUUGUUGCCUGGACAGCUGCCACAAGACCGUCCAGACCUUGUGGCAAGAGUAUACAGAGCUAAACAACGAUCCAUGAUGGACUUACUGAUUAAGGGUAAGCAUUUUGGAGAAGUUGCGGCUUAUGUACAUGUCACUGAGUUUCAGAAACGAGGCCUC